This is a non-coding RNA of Misgurnus anguillicaudatus (oriental weatherfish), 4635 nucleotides long. NCBI's taxonomy places the organism in Eukaryota, Metazoa, Chordata, Actinopteri, Cypriniformes, Cobitidae. The record is from RefSeq and is a predicted model, not a curated record.
CAGGUCACCAUCAAGCAAGUUUCAAAAUGGACCCGUAACCCUUGCAUUGAUAUUAAGUCUGACAAUAAUCCAGGCGAUGCCAAAUUAAAGACUGGCACCAUUCCCAAGGCAAAGGCUGGCACCGGUGUUGGCAAUCCAGUUCGAAAACCUAUUGUUGUUCCAUGUAGACAGACAACAAACCUGCAGUUCCCAAGAAGACGGCUUGUUUUCAUCCACGUGAUACCGAGGUGAAAGCAGAUAGCGAGGAGGUCGAUCCGGCACACAGAACCUUGUUUGAUGAUUAUUGUAUUGAUACAGAUAAUCCGCUUGGUAAAGGUAGCUUUGUCGCUGUGUUUCCGGGGACCAGUAAAGCCGAUGGCAAACCGCCUGGAUCUGGAUUGGUUCUUACAGAACUAGCAGUGUUGCUCAAGUUAAAGGAAAAUCCAAACCCUUAUGUGAUCAAACUUUAUGACAGCUACAGAUGUGGCCUUUAAAAACGCGUGUUUUCUCCCGCGGCAUUCGCCAAUUCGUCUCACAGAGUCUCGCAGAAUUCUGCAAGUGCUUUCGGGGGGGCUACUUUCCCUUUUCCCUUAAAGAGUAACUAAACCCUAAACCAACUUUUUUAAGUUAAUGAUCUGUAAAAAUGAUGCUUUAUUAGUGCUGUUCAUUGAUUUUAGUAAGUUUUUUGACAUUUGGAUAUAAAGUGUUUCAAUACUGCAAUAUAUGGUGUAAAAACGUCUGAGUGCUGCCCUCUUCAGGUUGAACGGUGGCUACUGCAGUUGAAUUUUCCUAUUGGAUGUUGAGUCCAAAAAAUGACUCGUGACGUAAGCAGGUUCAAGCUCACCACGCCCUUGUAACGAUCUCACCACACAUUUGGUACGAGCUUAGUUCGUCCCCUCUAUCUCCUUUGGGAUCUGCCCACUUUUCUUGCAUUUUUCAAAUAUUGCCAGUGGGUGGAGUCAGGCUUUGACCAGGGGUUUAGUUACGCUUUAAUGUGUUUCGCUUCACAGAAUAAUCACCAGGUGGCGCAUAAGUGUAUGCUUUGUCAUUGCGGUUGUUUCCAGAAGUUAAUAAGGGCUUUGCUGAAUAUAUAACAUUGCUAUUAAAACAGCAAAGUGACGUCAACCCCUUCUUGCCAGCAUAACAGCGCAUACAACUAAUAAGACGUGCAAUGCGCAUUUAUACUAAAGUGCAACAGAGACCCUUACGAAAAUAAACCAUGGGUUUAUUGUGGUAAAAGUGUAGUAAUCAUGUUUUUUUUGGUGUAUUGAUUACUAUCGGCAAAACUACGAGUUUACUACACUUACCAUGGUUAACCCUAAUAAGGUUUUUGUACACCAUGGUUGUCAGAACCAUAGUUAUUUUGUGGUUACCAUAAUUUCACUACAGUUUUUUGUUUUUGUUUUUUUAAAUUGUAGUAAAACCAUGGUUAAUUUUCGUGAGGGGAAUUUAGUGUGAGCCUAUUUACAAUGAAUAUCUUAAUUAUAAUUUUGAUACAGUUUUGUUGUUUGUUCAUAAUAUUUAUAAUUAUGUUCGUUUUUCUUAAAGUAUCAAUAUUUUAAAGAGAUUAAUGUGGUAUAAAAAGACAUGUUUUAAAGUUAAAAAAAUGUUGUACAAAAUAUAUUAGUAUUCUUAUAUAUUAAGAAUAACAAUAUGAUACAUUUAUAUUGCGCUAAAAUGGAAAGAGGAAUUCUUCUCAACCACCACCAAUAAAGUUUAAACAUUAUUCUUUAGAAAAAAACGGCGUUUAAACCCGUGGAGCGAACAAGAAAACAUAUGCUUACAUGCUCAUUCGGCAUGUGAUAUCUUUUUUAUUUCGUUUUAUAGUUUUAAAAGUGGCAAAAAAGAUCUUAAAAUCUAAUGAAUACUGUUCUCUGUAAAAUAUAUAUAUAACUGCAGAUGACAGCAGAUUUGAUUCAGUUCACCUACUAAGAAAUUGGAGAAGUGAUGAUUUGUGAUUGAUUGGGGCUAAUAGAAUGACUGCCACACUCAAAAUACACCAAACCAAAUAAGCACUUAAACUAAAGCAAGUCAUGACCAUAACUUUAUUGUGUAUAUAAAUAUAUUAUUGUUUAUAGACGUCAAAUAUCAAACAUCACGCAGGCUUCUACUACUUACAAACAUGGACACGCGGGUGAAGGUUAAUAAAUCUGCCGUUUUCUGAGGGUAUCUGCGUGCGUGGGAUCCGGGCAGGUCUGCUUUUACUCCAGACCUUGACGCUUUGUGUGUUCGACUUUAUACGGUGCGGUGCUGACUGAUCGGCGUAUGACAUCAGAGUACCGCGAGAGCAAAGAUAAAGUCGGACCAUUUUGUAACAUUUCGACUUGCUCUUGCGGUACUUUGAUGUCUUCGCUGCCGAACUGUCUGCGCAGCGCCACAUAGAAACGCCCUUUGACUAUUUACAGCAAAGUACCAGCAACAUGAGAAGUGGUGGCACACAAAAGAAAGUGAAGGUAUGCAAAAAUAUAAAGUGUCAGUACUGCGAGCACCGGUUUAGUUAUUUACAUCGUGUGUUGCUCUUCACCAUUGUGCAGCCGCGCACUCCCUCUGUAGUUUGUAGCUCGCGCUCCGGCUUCUGUAAACAAUGGCCGUUUCUCAAUACCAAGUACGCCAAGUUCGGACUUGCGUCCUUCUUAGUUCGGACAUGCAAGUAACUUAACUUUACCAUCAGUUAAAAGGAUAACAAAUAACAGACUUCAUAUGAAUAAUAAAGAUAAAUAAAUUGAUGAGACAAAAAAAUGCCUGAUAGAUAAGGAAAUAUUUUAUGUUUGAUCAGACACCAAAGGGCAGAGCUAAGAAGCCCGCCUGGUCACCCCUUGGAAAAAAGAAAACAAGAACCUUAAGACAUCAGAGUACCGCGAGAACGAUUUAAAACCAACCUCCUCCGCUUUAUUUCUCGUGGUAGUCUGAUGUCACCUGCUUGUCGGCUCUUGCGGCGCUGCGUAAAGUUGACCACAUCUAAAAAACGUACUGCUAAACUCGACGGAAAUGCUCUGUGUAAGCAUGCACCUCCUUUAUUAAUUGUAUAGCAGGAAAAGUUAUAUAUCUUACUUCUUAGCGUGAGAAAUAGCUUACAAGGUUUGGCGUGUGAGCGUUUGAACUGACAGAAAUGCGUGUGUCUCAUGUUCGGCGAAUGCGUGGGACUUGAGAGCCCAGGUUAUAUCAACAUAUGUCAAAUUAAGUAACCCGAUAUACACUUAAUUUUAUAAGUUAUAAACAUUCAAUUGAAAUAACUUACAGCAUAUGUAGUAGAUUUGCUUAAAUAGCAUUUAAACAAAGGAACUGCAAGGGAAACCCCACACGCUGGUGAAAACUGGAAAAAAAGUUUUUCUUUUGAUUCCCUGAGAGAAGAUCGAUUAGCAUUGGGGGGUGGCAAAGAAUUGGCAGACCUGGGGGUUGGUGGUUUUUAAUUUUUUGAUUCUGUGUGAAUGGUAGCUGCUAAAACUAGCAGCUUAACCAUGUGCAAUUAAUUACAUUUUGGAAUUAACUUGCUUCAUGUCGUUUUAUUUAUAAACUGUAAAAAUAUUUUUUGAAUUUGUAAGAAAAGUUAGCAUUAAAUAUCUUUUACAAACUCUUGGAUGUUUGUAAUUAUCAUCAUUCAGAAAAGUGGUGCUUGUGUUUAGACUUGUGUUUGACGUGAUUUAAUCAGGAAUAUUACAUUGGUUUCUUUUCAGUGUAGAACAGUUUGUCAACAAAAUGCAAAAAUAUAGUAUAUUUAUAAACAUCGCUAAAACAAAGUGAAUUAAAAUGAAAAAAGUAAUAAAGUUAAAGCUGCUGAUAUUUUUGUUUACAUUUACUAGCAUUUGUGAAAAUUGUUUCCUAGCUUUUUUUAAGUAGCCUAAAUUUAUUUCAGUGUAGGUUUCUCAUUUUUAUCAGCUUUCUUUUGCUUUUCAAAGGGCCAUCUAUCUUUGCUACCGCCAGUGCUUUAAGUGGGCCGGUAGGCGCCAGUACUCAGUACCGUUACUUCCAAAUAGCAGCUCUUAAGCGUACCACCACCUCAGCGUGCGCCCGAACGUGCUUUUAGCGUACCGGGACGCUCAUUUGCACAUCUGUUUAAAUCAGAUGUUUAAUUUAAUCAUUUGGCUGCACUGCUGCUUUUCAAAGCGCCCUUCACAAUGCACGCUUCCUAAUUCGUCCCACCGAGAGCAGAGACUACAUUACCCAUACACCCUUGAGUUUUACUAGUUAAAAGCGCAUGCGGCUUGUUCAACUUUAUGCGGCUCCGCAAGAAUCGACAGCAAGAAUCACCAGCCGGAUGAUGUCAAAGUUUCGCGAUAGCGAGACGAAAUAUGAUUUCUUGAAUCAUUCUUGCGGUCCUUUGACGUCAACCGGCUGUCGGUUAAGUCGAACAAGCCUAGUGUUAACAACGUGGUCUGGAGAGGUGUGUGAAACGCGCAACCUAGCUGCUCGGUUAAAAUGAAAAUACUAUGAACACUUAAUAUGCCCUCCUGGUUUUAGACUCUGAGUAGUAAAAGAACAAGGUCAGAAUCAGAGGACUCGCUGGCUGACAUCCCACCAAAGAACAAAGAAAAGGGCCGCACUUUGCAUAUAAAACGUAUUUUUUAUUGGCACAGACGCGUUUCGGCUUUGCGCCUUCCUCAGUGUGCUUAAGUGAAUGAACAUUCCAAACUCAUUCAUAUAUUCCUACCCUUCCAU